Long non-coding RNA from Phyllostomus discolor (pale spear-nosed bat), 1099 nucleotides. RefSeq lists it as uncharacterized. The record is from RefSeq and is a predicted model, not a curated record. Lineage: Eukaryota; Metazoa; Chordata; Mammalia; Chiroptera; Phyllostomidae. The transcript is spliced from 2 exons.
UUUGUCUAGAACUCCAGGUCACGUGGGCCCCGCUGGACUGCCUGGUUGGCUGCGAGCGGGCCGGGGGAGGGGGCCGGCCCUCCGACGCUGGCAGUGGGCCAGCCCCUCUCCUCCGGGCCGGGGGCGUAGGGGCCGGGGGGCGCGGUGGGGCCCUGCGGGUUCCCAGGGCCGGGCAGGGCAGGGCCGCAGGCGGUGCCCGCCCCCUCUCCCCCAACUCGGCAGGAGCUCUGCGCUGUCCGGGAGCGAGCGGGGAGCCCCCGGGAGCACCGCUGGGAGGAGGGCGGACGGGUGGGCCGGGACCGCUCUUUAGCCAGGUACGGAGGAGCGAUGGCACCUGCCCUGCCGGGCCCCAGAGACCCAGCACCUCCUAAGGACCACCUCACGCCCUAGGUGCCUGGCCUUCAGCCGCAGUCAGUGGGGACACGCUAGCCCGAACGGGUGCCGGUAGGGUGCAGGCAAGAGAUGUGCUGUGAAGGACAACCCGCCUUCUCUCCCGCGGCUCAGCCCCCUUCUGAUCUCGCAAGCACCAAGAGGAAGGAGGAGGACUCCAGAUCAGAACGCCUUCUCCAGAUAAUUCUUGGGGAGUACAGGCCACCCUCUCUCAGCCCCGGGUGGGACCCAGGAUCCACACAGCACGAAGGAGCCAUUCGACGAAACACAGGCCCUUCUCUCUCCCAACCCCUCUUUCCACCCAGUCCUGGUAUCUGUCUGGUACAGUUUUUCAGGAGAUGCCCUGAGAAGCCCUGAGUUUAUGCCUCUGGCCUGCUCCCACCCUUGAUGGGACGUAACAGGACUUGCUUAGCUGGUUCCCUCCCCGAUGCCUCCUCGGCACCCUGGGCCCUGUCGACAGGCCUCCUCUCAAAAGGAAGUCUGUGAUCAGGCACGCCUGGCUCUCCUUAGCAGCACUCCAUCCCAUGCACGGCCCCUCCUUUUCCAUUGGACUAGACAACUGAACACCUUCACCUCUACGCUCUGUCAGUCUGGGAACUGCUUCAGCCAGGACUCAAAGCCUCAGCUUGGACCAGAGCCAUCAGCCUCACUUUCUCUUGGCCAAGGUAAAGAAGCGGCCUCUCACCCUCAGCUCCCAUCUUAAGCAAAA